Molecule: long non-coding RNA, 2087 nt
Organism: Uranotaenia lowii
Lineage: Eukaryota; Metazoa; Arthropoda; Insecta; Diptera; Culicidae
Exons: 6
Source: RefSeq, a predicted model, not a curated record
CAUACACUAAAUCGUUGAUAUUAUUCUGUUCUGAUUAUAUGAAUAGUUACUAUUCGAGUAAUCGUUCUUAAAUCUUCAAGUUUUUAGCUAAUUUUUCAACUUUUCAUGCGUCUUUGCUAGAAAUGAUAAAAAAAUAUUUUUGUAAGAUACACGUAAUAAUCCUGAAAUCCAAACUCGUGAUGCAACUGAGUGUGGCGUGUGUCUUCACUCAACGAAGCAAAAAUAAAAAAUGGCGAGCGUGUGGUUGAAGUGAGCAGAAGCUCGCAUGUAAAAAUGGCAGAUAUUUUCAGCCGAAAUCUCGGAAACGUUCGGAAACAUAUACAUCUUCUGGUAGCGGUGAAAUCGUCGAGGAGGAAGUCAAAAAAUACGUCCGGCCUAGUUCCUCAGCCACGAUUGCGACCACCAGACACCAGCCGCUACCGACCGUACCGCCAUCAGCGGCAACAGCAGCACCACCAAACGGUUCCCUUGGAUUAUAACCCGCUUUCCGCUGGAAGAGCAGAAGCAGGAUGUUAAUUUUUCUUCUCCCACGGCACAAGAGCACUCGGCAACAGACUGGGCACAGCGGUCACAAGUGGUCAGGGACGAUAUGCUGGAGUCUCAAGUGUUCGCCGAAACAAAUCAUAACAGAACACAAAUAGAAUGUGUACUUUUUUGCUGUGAUUUCGUGUCCCGAACCAAACGGCACCAGUUUCUUCCAAUUGUAAAAUAAGCUCCGGCAAAAAAAAGUGCCAGUGCCAAAAUGAAUACCAACACUUCCGGCACGCUGUCGAACGGGCCAGCGGAAACGACGAAAAAUUCUGCGGUUGAAAUCGCUCAAAAACAGAAAGCUCUGCAGGCACGUCUUCAACUGCCAUCAUUGUCAACGGAUUCCCGGACAAGUGAUUCGGAACCGUGUGAGCCACUUGCAGAAAUUCAGGAACGGAAGAAUCUUUUUCCAGAAAUAACUAUCCCACUGGCUAAAAGCAGAAACAACAGGAAGGUGGUGAACAUUCUUGAACUGCUAAGUAAGAGCACAAUUGAUCGUGAACCCAAUGCCAAAGGUUUCUGCAGAACCACUGCCAAAGCCCAGUAAAAUUUGCCCAUCGGUUGGAGCCAGUGGUCAGGAAGCCAGUAAACUUUACUGGGAGCAUUCACACUUGCCUUGGUUGAAGGAAAAUUUUUAUUGUUAAGUUUCUCGAGAAUAAUUUCUUUUAUGCGACUUCUAAACGAGGAAUCGUGAUACGGAAAUUCUAGAGAGAGUAAACCUAGAUUGGUGAUUCGAAUGGUAAUGGCGGUUCAAAAUGAAAGCAUUCUUGACUUGGAUCGGGACUAAAAACCGUUGAUGGAAUGCCCAAAGGAAGAACAGACAGCUGAAGGCGGAACAUGCAAAUAUUGCCUAACAACAAUAUUUAAGCUUCCCACCAUCAAUCGAUUCAUAAUGUCACCAGGUGCACCACUAUCACCAUGGCAUCAUCAACAGCAGCAACAGUAGAUCUCUGGCGGAUGGAGAAUGUUCAACAUUCUGGGUCAUCUGGUAGAAUCGAACACGACGAAACAGCGACCAUCAGUAAUGAAAUUUAUUUAAAACUCUGGAUACUCCGUAACAAACGCCGAUGAACGAAGCGAAACCACUGCCAGGAGUGUACAAUAGUCAUCAAACGCAGCAAGAAAUCUACUUCCAACUGAAUCGAGAAGUUGGGCAAUUGACAACAGGAGCCGAAAACCAUUCCAUCGAUACAGCGGGAAUACUACCUUGGCAUUAUUUACUGGAACUGUUUCUAUAGGAUCCGAAACUGUAUUGUAGUUUUGAAAAUUCAGUAGCUUUCUCUGCUCGAAUGCUGCCUUGACUAUUCUGGGCAUUCCGGGUGGGAAUAGUACUCCGAUGAGUCUCAGAAAAGCAAGCUGAAGAAUCACUAUAAAAUUUAUCAAUUUUAGACAAGCUGCUGGAAGAUUUUAGUUAUUCACUAAGGAUCUGAAUUAAUGACGAUAUUUUUUUUCAAUUCAGGUUUUUUUAAUUCUAAAAUUUAUAAUUUAUUGUAUACAUUUUCUGUAAACAAAUUAAAAUUGAAACAAUAGUUCAAUAAACAAUAUUAUCUCUACAUGAA